RNAcentral lists this ribosomal RNA (22 nucleotides) under Tricholoma terreum. Lineage: Eukaryota; Fungi; Basidiomycota; Agaricomycetes; Agaricales; Tricholomataceae. The record is from RNAcentral.
UAUCCCGGCCAAAGAAUCCUGA